Molecule: long non-coding RNA, 379 nt
Organism: Lagopus leucura (white-tailed ptarmigan)
Lineage: Eukaryota; Metazoa; Chordata; Aves; Galliformes; Phasianidae
Exons: 3
Source: RefSeq, a predicted model, not a curated record
AGUAGCCAUUGCCUAAUAAUUUCUUACCUGUAACUCCUAUUAAUCAUAAUUAGCAAAUUAGCCAAUGUUACCUCUGAGAGCAUUAGUUGUUGUUAAAAAAGAUUUCAAUAAAUUGAUGUGUGUUAUUCCUCUGAGUCUAGGAUGACUUGCAGACCCCUGCUGGCUAGAAGACGUGUGACUCAGGAGACAGAAAAGGAUUCACCUCCCUCGAAACCUACUGUGUGGGACAAGACAGAUGACAUCCAGAGGGAGCUAGACAGGCUCGAGGAGUGGGCACAUGAACACCUAACAAUGUUCACCAAGGCCAAAUGAAGCUGCGUGGCCAGAGACAGAAGGGGAAAAAAAAUAAUCCUAGGCUCAGGCUCUCCUCCUGCUGCUC